This 300-nucleotide ribosomal RNA is filed under the name uncultured bacterium. RNAcentral describes it as "bacterial SSU rRNA". It matches the Rfam family "Bacterial small subunit ribosomal RNA", at positions 331 to 649 of the family's 1533-position model. The record is from RNAcentral.
CCUUACCUACGGGACGCAGCAGUGGGGGAUAUUGCACAAUGGGGGAAACCCUGAUGCAGCGACGCCGCGUGAGUGAAGAAGUAUUUCGGAUUGUAAAGCUCUGUUAGCAGGGAAGAGGAAGGACGGUACCUGCAGAGGAAGCCACGGCUAACUACGUGCCAGCAGCCGCGGUAAUACGUAGGUGGCAAGCGUUGUUCGGAAUAACUGGGCGUAAAGGAUGCGUAGGCGGGUAAACAAGUUAUAUGUUAAAUAUAUAGGCUUAACCUGUAGAAAGCAUAUAAAACUGUUUAACUAGAGUGC